This 2160-nucleotide ribosomal RNA is filed under the name Triticum aestivum (bread wheat). RNAcentral describes it as "partial small subunit ribosomal RNA". The record is from RNAcentral. Lineage: Eukaryota; Viridiplantae; Streptophyta; Magnoliopsida; Poales; Poaceae.
AUGGCCGAAUCACUGCUUCUCCCUUUGGUGCGCGGCGUGGCCGGCAAGGCCGCAGACGCGCUCAUCCAGACCGUGACCCGGAUGAGUGGCCUCGACGACGACCGCGAAACGCUGGAGCGCCAUCUGCUAGCCGUCAAGUGCAAGUUGGCCGACGCCGAGGAAAGGAGCCAGAGCAAUGCCUACCUCAGGAGCUGGAUGGAGAAGCUCAAGGCCGUCGCCUACGAGGCCGACGACGUCCUCGACGACUUUCAGUAUGAGGCGCUGCGCCGCGAAGCCAAGAUCGGCAAGUCCACUUCCGGCAAGGUACUCGGCUACAUCACGCAUUGCAGUCCGCUGCUCUUCCGUUUUGCCAUGAGCAAGAAGCUCAAGGGAGUUCUCAAUAAGAUCAAGGAGCUGGUUGAAGAGAUGAACAUGUUUGGCCUUGAAAAUUCUGUGAAUCGGGAGGAGCGACAACAUCCUUGGCGGCAGACACACUCCAAACUGGACGAGUCUGCCGACAUCUUUGGAAGAGAUGAUGACAAGAAGAGGGUGGUAGAGUUGCUGCUAGACCAGCAAGAUAAGCGGAAGGUGCAGGUGCUGCCCAUCUUUGGUAUGGGAGGUCUUGGCAAGACGGCACUUGCUAAGAUGGUGUACAAUGACCAAGAUGUCCAGCAACAUUUCCAGUUGAAAAUGUGGUACUGCGUAUCAGACAAUUUCAAUGUUACUGCUAUUGUGAAAUCCAUCAUUGAAUUGGCAACAAAUGGAAGAUGCGACCUGCCCGACAACAUCGAGCUAUUGCAGAAGAAACUUGAUGAAGUCAUUUGCCGGAAGACAUUUUUACUUGUUCUCGAUGAUGUAUGGAAUGAAGAGAAGACGAUAUGGGAGGAAAAUUUGAAGCCACUGUUAUGCUCCAUUGGUGGACCAGGAAGUGCUAUAGUUGUGACAUGUCGAAGCGAGCAAGUGGCAACUAUAAUGUGCACCAUUCAGCCCCUUAAGUUGGCAUGUCUAGGUGAAGAAGAUUCAUGGGAAUUAUUCUCGAAGAAAGCAUUUAGCAACGAUGUAGUGGAGCAAGCAGAGUUAGUCACCAUCGGAAGACGUAUUGUUAAUAAAUGUGGGGGGUUGCCUCUUGCUCUGAAGACAAUGGGUGGAUUGCUACGUUCAAAGCAACAUGUAGAGGAAUGGAAGGCCAUCGAAGGAAGUAAUAUUGGGGAUAAUAUUGUGGGCAAACAUGAGGUCAUGCCCAUACUAAAGUUAAGCUACAAACACUUGUCAUCUGAAAUGAAGCAAUGUUUUGCAUUCUGUGCAGUUUUUCCCAAGGAUUAUGAGAUGCAGAAGGAUAUGCUGAUCCAACUAUGGAUGGCAAAUGGCUUUAUUAAAGAAGAGGGAACAAUGGAUUUAACACAGAAAGGAGAAUGCAUUUUCCAUGAAUUGGUUUGGAGGUCCUUCUUCCAAGAUAUGGAAGUUGAAGACAGUUUUUUCUCAGGACAUGAGACAGUAGUAUGUAAAAUGCAUGACUUAAUGCAUGACUUAGCCAGAAAUGUUAGCAAUGAUUGUGCCACCAUAGAAGAAUUGAUUGAACAAAGAGCAUUGUUAAAAAAUGUCCGCCACCUGCAAAUGUCAACGGAUAAUUUGAAAAAGACCUAUGGUUUGUUCGAUGGCAACAGUACAUCUCCCCGCACUUUGUUAGCUCCUUCAUUGAUGUGCCGGGAGUUUAAACGGCUGUCACAUGCAUCAUUACGAGCACUGCAUUGGCAGGGGUUGUUUCACACCAGUUUCAGUUUUGUAAAUGCAAAACAUUUACGGUAUCUUGACCUCUCCAGUUGUGACGUCAACGCUAGAUUGCUAGAUUCAGUAUGCCAAUUGUAUAACCUGCAAACGUUGAGGCUGAAUAAUUGCACUAAGCUACAGAAGUUACCAGAAGACAUGAUGAUAAGCCUGAGAAAGCUCAUACAUCUUUAUCUUUCUGGAUGUGAUAAGUUGGGACGGAUGCCUCGAAACAUUGGCCAGCUGAACAACCUUCGCACACUAACAAGAUUUGUUGUGGAUAGUAGAGAGGGUUGUGGUAUUGAGGAACUCAAAGACUUGCGACACCUUUGCAAUAAGAUGGAAUUGUACAACUUGAGGAAAAUAAAGAGUAUAAAGCACGAAAAGAAGCCAAUCUCCAGCAGAAGAAAAAUCUAA